GAUGAAGUUACCAAGAGCGCAUGGUGGAUGCCUUGGCACUAGAAGGCGAUGAAGGACGUGGUUACCUGCGAUAAGCCGGGAGUAGGCGGAAGCUGCCUGUGAUCCCCGGAUCUCCGAAUGGGACAACCCACACAGAGUAAUGUCUGUGUACGUUACGGUGAA
Molecule: ribosomal RNA, 162 nt
Filed under: Bacteroidota bacterium
Lineage: Bacteria; Pseudomonadati; Bacteroidota
Description: partial 23S ribosomal RNA
Rfam family: Bacterial large subunit ribosomal RNA
Source: RNAcentral